AGGGUUUGAUCAUGGCUCAGAACGUACGCUGGCGGCACGCCUAAUACAUGCAAGUCGAACGAAGUAGCAAUACUUAGUGGCAGACGGGUGAGUAACAUGUAGGUAUCUUCCCAUUGGUGAGGAAUAACACGAGGAAACUUGUGCUAAUACCUCAUAAGUCUUUACGGAGAAAGCUUUAUGCGCCGAUGGAUGAGCCUGCACUUGAUUAGUUUGUUGGUAGGGUAAUGGCCUACCAAGACAAUGAUCAAUAGCUGAUUUGAGAGGAUGAUCAGCCACAUUGGGACUGAGACACGGCCCAAACUCCUACGGGAGGCAGCAGUAGGGAAUCUUGCACAAUGGGGGAAACCCUGAUGCAGCGAUGCCGCGUGAGUGAAGAAGGCCUUUGGGUUGUAAAGCUCUUUCGUCGGGGAAGAAAAUGACUGUACCCGAAUAAGAAGGUCCGGCUAACUUCGUGCCAGCAGCCGCGGUAAUACGAAGGGACCUAGCGUAGUUCGGAAUUACUGGGCUUAAAGAGUUCGUAGGUGGUUAAAAAAGUUGGUGGUGAAAUCCCAGAGCUUAACUCUGGAACUGCCAUCAAAACUUUUUAGCUAGAGUAUGAUAGAGGAAAGCAGAACUUCUAGUGUAGAGGUGAAAUUCGUAGAUAUAGAAAGAAUACCGAUUGCGAAGGCAGCUUUCUGGAUCAUUGCUGACACUGAGGAACGAAAGCAUGGGUAGCGAAGAGGAUUAGAUACCCUCGUAGUCCAUGCCGUAAACGAUGUGUGUUAGACGUUGGAAAUUUAUUUUCUGUGUCGCAGCGAAAGCAAUAAACACACCGCCUGGGGAGUACGGCCGCAAGGUUAAAACUCAAAUGAAUUGACGGGGACCCGCACAAGUAGUGGAGCAUGUGGUUUAAUUCGAAGAUACGCGCAGAACCUUACCAACACUUGACAUGUUCGUCGCGACUUUAAGAGAUUAAAGUUUUCGGUUCGGCCGGACGAAACACAGGUGCUGCAUGGCUGUCGUCAGCUCGUGUCGUGAGAUGUUGGGUUAAGUCCCGCAGCGAGCGCAACCCUCACUUUUAGUUGCCAUCAUUAAGUUGGGCACUCUGAAAGAACUGCCAGUGAUAAGCUGGAGGAAGGUGGGGAUGACGUCAAGUCCUCAUGGCCCUUACGUGUUGGGCUACACACGUGCUACAAUGGCAUUUACAAUAGGAAGCAAGACGGCGACGUUAAGCAAAUCCUAAAAAAAUGCCUCAGUUCGGAUUGUACUCUGCAACUCGAGUACAUGAAGCUGGAAUUACUAGUAAUCGCGGAUCAGCGCGCCGCGGUGAAUACGUUCCCGGGUCUUGUACACACCGCCCGUCACACCAUGGGAGUUGGUUUUACCUUAAGGCGAAGUUUAAUACCUUUGACCACGGUAUAGUCAGCGACUGGGGUGAAGUCGUAACAAGGUAACCAAGGG
RNAcentral lists this ribosomal RNA (1440 nucleotides) under uncultured Candidatus Pelagibacter sp. RNAcentral describes it as "bacterial SSU rRNA". It matches the Rfam family "Bacterial small subunit ribosomal RNA". Lineage: Bacteria; Pseudomonadati; Pseudomonadota; Alphaproteobacteria; Candidatus Pelagibacterales; Candidatus Pelagibacteraceae. The record is from RNAcentral.